This is a long non-coding RNA of Photinus pyralis (common eastern firefly), 1425 nucleotides long. RefSeq lists it as uncharacterized. The record is from RefSeq and is a predicted model, not a curated record. Lineage: Eukaryota; Metazoa; Arthropoda; Insecta; Coleoptera; Lampyridae. The transcript is spliced from 2 exons.
CUGACAUUGUGAAUAAUUAAUUUUAGCAUUUCACGCACAUAAACUUCAACCAAGAAUUCUUCUCUCCCAAACCUCUCUUUCAACGCUUUUACGGCUUUGGGAUAAUUCUCUGCAGUCUGCGGAUAACUACACACCAAUUCAUGGGCACGGGACCCAUCUACCAUCAAUUGUACCAAAAAUUGAAACUUGUCACUGUCAUGUAUGGUAAUGUCUUCGUCUAUCUUUUUAAACUGACUCCAAAAUCCUAACGACUCUUUGACUUCUCCGUUAAACUUUUUGUAGUUAAAUUUUGGCAAUUUAAAAUUUCUUUGAUUACCCAAUACUGGCAAGUUCUCAUUUUCAGUUAUGGAUUUGCAAUUUUCAUCUCUCAGCACUUCAAACACUCGCCUUGCUGUUUGAAACAUUUUCUUAUAUUGAGCAAUAUCAUCAAAUUCUUCAUUUUGUUGAUCAUCGUCCACGUUGUCGUCAAGCAUUUGGUUUUUGAUCGUAUCGUCCAAUGUUUGCAAUUCCCGAUGAGUAUCCUCCAACAUUAAUACAUUCACACGCAUCUGAUCCAAAUCCGGAAUAGUAUUUUGGCUUUCAACGUUUAUGUCUUCACACAACUUCUUCAACUGCCGCCUGACAGGACGACGCGCUCUCUCUAAUCGAUCCAUAGGUUUUCAGGUUUUCGAAUUAUUCGACAACUCACAAAUCACGUCGGGGUCACCAAAAAUGUUCUAGUUGAUGCGGCUAGGGACUACAACUACCCGUUGAUAGUUUAACCGCGUGUGUAAAAAGAUAAUUCACGAAAAAGAGAAUAUUCUAUAAUCGAUCAAUUUUAUUGUAUUGACAAACUUCUAUUUAUUUCAAAUCUGUUCUAUACAUACUUGAUUACUAAAAUGCAUCUUUCUUCACUCGCUUUUUAUCACUCGUUAAUAAACAUGACACGAACAGAUCAUUGGCCAUUUACCAUUAAUUACACUUGCUUAAAUCUAGACUGUUUGCAGGUUGUCGGCUGGGGUAGAACAAGUAUUACUAGUCAGGAGGCAUCUUCAGAACUACGUGAAUUAUCGGUGCCAUUCAUACCGUACUCAGAUUGUUAUGCCGCUGUUCCGACUGAUUUUAAAAAAUAUUUAACUUAUGACAAAAUAUGUGCAGGAUAUCUAAAUAAAGGGCAAUCAAUUUGUCAAGGUGACAGUGGAGGUGGAUUGACAUUUCAAAGGCAUCAAAAUCGAUAUUACAUUAGAGGCAUUGUGAGCAUAAGUCCUACAGAAACAGUAGAGGGACAUGCGACCUGUAAUCCAAAUUAUUAUGCUACCUAUACUUGGGUUUCAAAACACUUAAAUUUUAUAAAAGGAAUUGAUAAUCAAUAUAGAUCGUGAAAGUAAAUUUUUAAAUUCUUGUUGUUCUAAAUAGAAAUCAAAAAUAAAAUCGCAUCUAAAUGGG